GCGGUCGGUGUUCGAGUGGCCUCCCUUGAUGUGCUCGUCGUGCCAAAAGGGACGGCGGAAACUCAGGAACACCUUGGUGGCAGGCCCCGCCCCUCACCGGAGCCGGUCGCUGAGGCAGCUGUGGGCCCGCAAGGCCUCUGCAAAACUAAGGUAGAAGAAGCCAUCCUCGGACAUUACGUCUCCCAGGAGUUGCGCGGCGGCCUGGCUCAGGCUCCCCUCCCCGAGGAGCCCAGCGUCUCGAGAUCUUUGAGGGCCUGCAGUGGAACAAGCAGAUGGCGCUGAGCUGUGGGGGCAGGAUCGCAGAGGCUCCCUGAACUAGGAAGUAUCAAGGCACAGAAAUGGCCCACCCUUGUCCAGGACGGGAGAUGGAUGAUUAGAAGCUCCCAGAGGAGUACGAGUCUGGUCUUCCCUGAGGGCAUCAGGGAAGGCUUCCUGGAGGGGGGAACAUGGGAGCUGGUUCUUGAGGGAUGAGCAGGGUUCCCUGGGUGGGAAAGGGAAAGGGUCAUACGAGCAUGGCAGGCAGCAGGACAAGGGCAUGCGAGAAUCGACAUUGGGAGUCUAGAGCCAUGCGUGUUUAGGCCACCAUGAGGGCUUUGUGGGGGUAACAAAAACUUCUUGGAGGAGAGAAGAUAAGGCUAAAGGGGUGGGAGAGACCAGACCACCCAGGGCUUGAACCUGAAGCUGAGGCACUGGGAGCCACAGUGGGUGGAGGGCUGUGAGCAGGGGAGGGGAAGUGUGAGGAUCCAAGGAAGAGGAUGAGGCCUGAAUUGGGGCUGAGGCUGUGGGGACAGAGAGGUGGGAACAUUGCAAGGGUCAGAGGGCAGGAAGGAUUCAGCUGGGGACUGAUGGUGGGAGGCGAGGUAGACAGUGAGGAUGGCAGCUGGGUGUCUGCCUUGUGACUGGGGGUUGACAGGGCCAUUGUGAGAUGGGGGAACCCGGGAGUAUGAGUGGAUUUAGGGGAAGGUACUGAGCUCAGUGGGAGCUGGAGGGUCCUCAGGGUGGCCGAGGGGAGACAGAUGUAGGUGUGGGUCUCAGGAGAUACAUCUACCUACAGACCAAAGU
Long non-coding RNA from Hipposideros armiger (great roundleaf bat), 1062 nucleotides. RefSeq lists it as uncharacterized. The record is from RefSeq and is a predicted model, not a curated record. The transcript is spliced from 4 exons. Lineage: Eukaryota; Metazoa; Chordata; Mammalia; Chiroptera; Hipposideridae.